UAGGGAAUUUUCGGCAAUGGGGGCAACCCUGACCGAGCAAUGCCGCGUGAACGACGAAGGUCUUCGGAUCGUAAAGUUCUGUGAUUGGGGAAGAACAGCAUGAUCAGGAAAUGGGUCAUGUUUGACGGUACCCGAUUAGAAAGCCCCGGCUAACUAUGUGCCAGCAGCCGCGGUAAAACAUAGGGGGCGAGCGUUAUCCGGAAUUAUUGGGCGUAAAGAGUACGUAGGCGGCCUGUUAAGUCUGAUGUGAAAUCCCGCGGCUUAACCGCGGAGGGUCAUUGGAAACUGGCAGGCUUGAGUACGGCAGGGGUAAGUGGAAUUCCAAGUGGAGCGGUGAAAUGCGUAGAUAUUUGGAGGAACACCAGUGGCGAAGGCGGCUUACUGGGCCGGAACUGACGCU
RNAcentral lists this ribosomal RNA (400 nucleotides) under uncultured bacterium. RNAcentral's name for it is "bacterial SSU rRNA". It matches the Rfam family "Bacterial small subunit ribosomal RNA", at positions 355 to 747 of the family's 1533-position model. The record is from RNAcentral.